This 417-nucleotide ribosomal RNA is filed under the name uncultured soil bacterium. Its description in RNAcentral is "bacterial SSU rRNA". It matches the Rfam family "Bacterial small subunit ribosomal RNA", at positions 26 to 446 of the family's 1533-position model. The record is from RNAcentral.
AGAUUGAACGCUAGCGGGAUGCUUUACACAUGCAAGUCGAACGGCAGCGCGGACUUCGGUCUGGCGGCGAGUGGCGAACGGGUGAGUAAUAUAUCGGAACGUGCCCAGUAGCGGGGGAUAACUACGCGAAAGCGUGGCUAAUACCGCAUACGCCCUACGGGGGAAAGGGGGGAUUCUUCGGAACCUCUCACUAUUGGAGCGGCCGAUAUCAGAUUAGCUAGUUGGUGAGGUAAAGGCUCACCAAGGCGACGAUCUGUAGCUGGUUUGAGAGGACGACCAGCCACACUGGGACUGAGACACGGCCCAGACUCCUACGGGAGCAGCAGUGGGGAAUAUUGCACAAUGGGCGCAAGCCUGAUGCAGCAACGCCGCGUGAGGGACGAAGGCCUUCGGGUUGUAACCUCUUUAGUAGGGAAG